GACGAACGCUGGUGGCGUGCUUAACACAUGCAAGUCGAACGGUGAAAGCGGAGCUUGCUCCGCUGGAUCAGUGGCGAACGGGUGAGUAACACGUGGGCAACCUGCCCCAGACUUCGGGAUAACUCCUCGAAAGAGGUGCUAAUACCGGAUACGACGCCCCCAGGCAUCUGGGGGUUUGGAAAGUUUUUCGGUCUGGGAUGGGCCCGCGGCCUAUCAGCUUGUUGGUGAGGUAACGGCUCACCAAGGCGACGACGGGUAGCCGGCCUGAGAGGGCGACCGGCCACACUGGGACUGAGACACGGCCCAGACUCCUACGGGAGGCAGCAGUGGGGAAUAUUGCGCAAUGGGCGAAAGCCUGACGCAGCAACGCCGCGUGAGGGAUGACGGCCUUCGGGUUGUAAACCUCUUUCAGCAGGGAAGAAGCGAAAGUGACGGUACCUGCAGAAGAAGCACCGGCUAACUACGUGCCAGCCGCCGCAGUAA
Molecule: ribosomal RNA, 483 nt
Filed under: uncultured bacterium
Lineage: Bacteria
Description: partial 16S ribosomal RNA
Rfam family: Bacterial small subunit ribosomal RNA
Source: RNAcentral